Anguilla rostrata (American eel) is the source of this 426-nucleotide long non-coding RNA. RefSeq lists it as uncharacterized. Lineage: Eukaryota; Metazoa; Chordata; Actinopteri; Anguilliformes; Anguillidae. The transcript has 3 exons. The record is from RefSeq and is a predicted model, not a curated record.
UGUGGAAACUGAGGUGAACAAAAACGUCCUCGUGGUUUCUAGUGGGGCAUUUGCACAGUAUUAGUAAUCAGGAUGAAGCCGGACACCAUGUUCUUUCUGCUUUAUGCCACUGCAUUGGUGGUUUUUGGUGUACACAAAGCUGCACAGUCAAGUCCUACUGUUCGUCUGACUGCUAAUCCUCCAUGGUCAGAAGAGUUCCCAGGAAAUACAAUUACUCUCAGCUGUCAGGUUAUUGAAUCUGAGGGAUGGACAUUUGUGUGGACCAGACGCAGACAGGGGGGUCAAACACAACUUACAGCCUACAGUAGUCGCGGCUCUGUGUCUGUGUUGGUCCUGAGUGCUGUGAGUGAGAGACAGAGCGGAAUGUAUCAGUGUGAAGCUGUAAAAGGAAAUGAGCGAGCGAUCAGUAACAUCCAUACCAUAAUA